This is a non-coding RNA of Cyanistes caeruleus (blue tit), 1448 nucleotides long. Lineage: Eukaryota; Metazoa; Chordata; Aves; Passeriformes; Paridae. The record is from RefSeq and is a predicted model, not a curated record.
CAGGAAGGCAUGGGAAGGACGCUUUUCCUGGGCAAAGGCAGAGAGAUGAGCUAUGAAGGCGCAGUGCCCCUCAGACACACCAGGGCUGGGGUGUUUUGUGGUUCAAGCAGAGAUGGAAUGCAAGGGGCCACUUUUGCCUUGCGAUUGGCAUGGUGUGACUGUAGCCAUCAUUCAAAGCUCUAUGUUCUCAUCCUGAUAAACCUGGACUGAUGAGAGGCCUCCCUGACAUUUUUCUUAUCUUAGAGUUACAGUUUGCUGCUGCUCCCACCUGCAGGAAGAAUUUGGCUUGCACCUCAGUGAAGAACACAGUGGAGUGAUAGCAAUUUCCAAAGAACUAUUUGAAACUGAUGACUGUAUCCUGCAGAUGAGCUUUAGAAUACGGAGUGAGCCCCCAGAAGGAGCUGCCUUCCUUUCUUCAUUGAGGUGGAAGUGCUCAGCAUCACCCUCUACAUACCUCUGACACAGAUUUGUGUAGCUCCAGGACACCAAGAGGGAGCCCUGCUUUCUGUGACAGUGCCAGACUCAAGCUGUCUUCACUUGUGUUGUGUCCCUGCUGUGUUCUAAUCUGUUUGAAUUGCAGAUACAUUGUCUUAUGGGGAAAAACUCCUAACAGACAAACCCUAUCUAUCUGUUAGUUUGGUACUGAGCCCUUAUGCCCUGAAGGACAAGGAAGAAACUGCUGCAGCAAUGACCCAAGAUUUGGUGGUGACUGUGAGGUCUUUUUGUUGGAAAGCACUGCUUUUUUUUAUUUUUCUUUUUUUUUUUUCCCCUCCUUGAAACUGAGGGACUUGGUGACUAUAGUUGUUUAUGUUUGAAUGUGCUGAUGGGGAAAUUGAGGGGUCCUUCUGUAAGGACUUGAUUAGUAAGGGUCAGGAGUGAUAAAAUAUCUGGAAGACAUGUAUACCUCCUCUUAAAAGCUGGCUUAUCAAUCAAAUGUGGAUGUCAAGGAAGAAGCAAUCUCUUCUACGUGCUGGAUAGCAUUCUGUGUGUCCCUGAUGCAGCAGUGGCUCGGAUGAGCUCUGCAGAUCCACUGAGAGUAACUGCUCAUGACUGCAUUAGUGGAAAUGGAUGUUUAUGACUGAUCCCUUGGUGGUUGCAAAGCCCAUCAUGCUUCAUCAAAACAUAACACUCGGUGUGGUUCAAGUCCCACAGAUGAAGUGCUUUGCUAAAGGUCCCUCAAAAAAUGUAAAGCAGACUCAGGAGAUGAACCCAAGUCACCCGACAUUCCACCUUAGCCAAAAUGCCUACUUGCAUUGUGGGAAGCUUGGCAAGAAAUAAGGGUAAUGAAACUGCCCAGCUGCCUGGGAGACUGUCUCUGCUACUAUACAGCAGGCAAGCAGAAGAAUGAACUGAACAUCUAGAAGAUUACUUAAAAUAGGUUAUGGUGAUAAGAAAUAGACAAUCCUGUACAAUGUUGAAAAGGUCAGUGGAUUAGAGUGCUGAUUUCU